This 84-nucleotide transfer RNA is filed under the name Trichosporon ovoides. RNAcentral describes it as "tRNA-Leu". It matches the Rfam family "tRNA". Rfam says of the family: Transfer RNA (tRNA) molecules are approximately 80 nucleotides in length. Their secondary structure includes four short double-helical elements and three loops (D, anti-codon, and T loops). Lineage: Eukaryota; Fungi; Basidiomycota; Tremellomycetes; Trichosporonales; Trichosporonaceae. The record is from RNAcentral. RNAcentral also lists the same sequence under 2 other names.
GUGCCUUUCUGCUAGUGGUCCAUGCAGUCGGCCUUAAGAUCCGAUGGGAAUCAUCCCUCGCGAGUUCGAAUCUCGCAAGGCACA